CCAAGGCAACCCCCUCAAGGCGUGUUCUAUUAUACCCGACGUCUAUGGCGAUGACUAGGAAGGAAGUGCAACGGCCUUUAUGCCUGUGAAGCUUUUGAUGGUGCGUAUCUUUCUGACUUGUUGGACCGGAGAAGGGAGGUGAUGGCCACAGCACUGCUAGUUGCGAUUCUUUAAUCUGACCAACAAGUGUUGUCCAGCCUUGGCAUCUAUACUGAGCACAAGAGAAUCAUAUCUGAGAGAGCUUGACCUGGGAUACAACAGCAUCACUGACGCUGGAGUCAAGAUGCUUGUGGAGGGCCUGACAAGUCCAAACUGUAGAUUGAAAAAGCUCAGACUACAUUGCUGUGGAGUGACUGCACAAGGCUGUCAGUACCUUGCUCUAAUGCCUUGAAAAAAGGUCAGAGGCUGCGAGAGCUGGAUCUCAGCAGCACUGAUUUAGGAGACAGCGGACUGAAGCAUCUUGCUAAUGGUUUGAGAAAUGUCUUGAAUGCCAGCUGGAAGGACUUAAAAUAGCAAAAUGCAGUUUUGGUCAAAAGGUUGGCUUUGGAGAAAAACCCCAAACUAUAUGAAAGUAUUGGAUCUUGGGAUCAAUAAAAUUGGAGACAAAGGGGCCAAUGAACUCUUCAACAGAUAUGAUAUAUCGCAGUUAACCAAAUUGCGGAUGUAUUGCUGCGGAAUCACCGUAUUAAGCUGUGAACAUAUUGGGGGAGCUUUGAAGUCGGAAAGUAGCACCCUAGUGGAAUUAAAUUUGAACAGCAACCAAUUAACAGAUGCUGGGUUUGGACUCAUCUGCGCAGGAAUGUAUGCAUGGUCCUGUCUGGAAAAGCUAAGUGUGUCAAGAUGUGGAAUUUCUACUGCGGGCUGCUUUUUUAUGGCAAAGGUCCUGGCUUGUGUCUCCCAACUCUACACUCAGGGGACAAAGCAAAUGGAGUGGCAGUCAGUUGAGCUGAGGGAGCUGGAUCUCACCAACAGACUUGGGGAUGAGGGAGUCAACGAAAUUUCAUCUGGCCUUAAGAAUCCUUUCAAUCACUUCAAAUCUCUCAACCUAAGCCACUUCGAUCUCACCAAUGACUGUUGCACACAAUUGGCAUCGGUACUUGCAUCAGCGGCCUGCAGGAUCGGCGAGCUGGAUCUCUCUGACAAUGACAUCCAGGAUUAGGGAGUGAAGAAACUGUGUGGGACUGAGGAGACUUGACUUGAAAAGUUAGCUGACAUUGCUCAAGAAGUGUUCCUUACCAGACUGCUGCCCUGAAGUCAAACCCAAAGCACCUACCUGAGCUGCUUAUGAUUGGCAACAAGCUGAGCGAUGCGGACAUCAGACGGCUCAUUGCACUAACAAUGAACAAGAAAUAUGCAUUGGAUACAAUAGAUGUCUCAGAAGACUGCGGUGUCGAAGGCAAAGGUGGAUCAUACAAAAUCAUGUUUGCGCAAUCAUUUGAUCGUACAGCUCAUCGCAUUAUUGGAAGUAAUUUGGUUGUCCAUGUUCACAUGUAAAAAUGUUUUACAAAAAAAUUUUAAUUGUACAAACAUCAGGCUUGGGGUGUAACGGAAUACAUGUAAUGGGAUUAUGUAAUUACUGAACGAAAGGUAACUAUUUCAUGACAGUUUCACAAAUUUUUUUAUCUGAUUACAAGUACAUGUAUUCAAAAUUGGGAUUAUUGAUUUUGAGCCCCAACCUUUUCCAGAGUUACCAGCGCAUCAUUGAAUCAUAGGGUUGGAGGUAUCUGUGUUCUGUGUACAUGCGUGCGGGGAGGGGUUAAGCUACCGCUAACUGCAAAGGCUGCCAUUAGUUUAAAUAGUCCUCCUUUUUUCCAUUUCACUCUGUAUACAACACACACUGACUCAUGUAGAUACGUUUUAAAAACUUUAUUAUGAAGCUAGGCAGCAUGGUGUACAAGAGGUUAGCACGUUUUUCUCAAAGUUCUGAGGUUUUGGAUUUGAAUCCCGAGUGCUCUGUCUUCCUCCUGUUCCCGCAUUCCUAAAACAUGCAUAUUAAAAAUGUACAGAAUAAAACAGAAAAUAUACAUCCAUAUACAGUAUAUUUUAUUAGGCGGCACGUUGACCGACUGGUUAGCACAUCUGCCUCAUGGUUCUGAGAACCCCGGUUUAAAUCCGGCCUCGCCUGUGUGGAGUUUGCAUGUUCUUCCUGUGUCUGUGUGGGUUUUCUCCAGAUACUCUGGUUUCCUCCCACAUACCAAAAACAUGUAUGGUAGAUUAAUUGGAGACUCUAAUUCGCCCGUAGGUGUGAAUGUCAGUGCAAAUGGUUGUUUGUUUAUAUGUGCCCUGCGAUUGGCUGGUGACCUGUUCAGGGUGUGCCUCUCUCUCAGAGAUAACUGGGAGAGACUCCAGCACACCAGUGACCCGAGUGAGGAUAAGCAGUUCAGAAAAUGGAUGGAUGAAUAUAUUUUAUUGAUGUUGAAUUUUCAUCCAUCCAUCUAUUUUCUUCCCCUUAUCUUAGGCCGGGUCGUGGGGGCAGUAGCUUUAGACUGACUUCCCAGACUUCCUUCUCCCCAGCCACUUCAUGCAUCUCUUUCGGUGGGAUCCUGAGGCAGGCCAGCCGGGAGACAUAGUCUCUCCAGUGUGUCCUGGGUCGACACCGGGGUCUCCACCUGGUGGGACGUGCCCGGAACACCUCACCAGGGAGGCAUCCUAAUCAGAUGCCCGAGCCACCUCAUCUGGCUCCUCUCAGUGCAGAAGAGCAGCGGCUCUACUCUGUGCCCCUCCCGGAUGAGCUUCUCACCCCCUAGCUCCAAGAGAGAGCCCGGACACCCUGCGAAAGAACCUAAUUUCGGCCGCUUGUAUCCGGGAUCUUGUUCUUUCGGUCACGACUCACAGCUCGUGACCAUAGGUGAGGGUAGGAACAUAGAUCGACCGGUAAAUUGAGAGCUUCGCCUUUCGGCUUAGCUCCUUCUUUACCACAACAGACCGAUAAAAACGCUACACCGAUCCAUCCGCCUGUCAAUAUCCCGUUCCAUUCUUCCCUCACUCGUGAACAAGACCCCAAGAUACUCCUCCAUUUGGGGCAGGAUCUCAUCCCAGACCCCGGAUAGGGCACUCCAACCUUGUCUGACUGAGGACCAUGGUCUCAGAUUCGGAGGUGCUGAUUCUCAUCCCAGCCGCUUCACACUGCGCUGCGAACCGCUCCAUUGAGUGUUUGAGAUCAUGGCUCGAUGAAGCCAACAGAACCACAUCAUCUGCAAAAAGCAAAGCUGCAACAGUGAGGCCACCAAACCGGACCCCUCUACGCCUCAACUGCGCCGAGAAAUUCUGUCCAUAAAAGUUAUGAACAGAAUCGGUGACAAAGGGCAGCCUUGGCCGAGUCCAACCCUCACCGGAAACAAGUCCGAUUUACUGCCAGCAAUGCGGCCCAAACUCUGGUCGUACAGGGACCUAUAUCAGGGGGUUCGGUACCCCAUACUCCCGAAGCACCCCCCACAGGACUCCCCGAAGGACACGUUCGGAAGCUUUCUCCAAGUCCCCAAAACACAUGUAGACUGUUUGGGCGAACUCCCAUGCACCCUCGCGGACCCUGCCGAGGGUGUAGAGCUGGUCCACUGUUCCACGGCCAGGACGAAACCCAUACUGCUCCUCCUGAAUCUGAGAUUCAACUUCCCGACGGACCCUCCUCUCCAGCACUCCUUAAUAUACCUUACCAGGGAGGCUGAGGAGUGUCGCCUCUGCAAUGAUGGAGCGGAACAUGGUCCACUCGGACUCAGUGUCCCCCGCCUCACCUGAGAUGUGGGUGAAGUUCUGCCAGACGUGCGAGUUGAAACUCCCUCUGACGGGAUUCUGCCAGACGUUCCCAGCAGACCUUCACAAUACGUUUGGGCCUGCUAGGUCGGACCGGCAUGUUCCCCCACCAUCGGAGCCUACUCACCACCAGGUGGUGAUCAGUUGACGCCUCCGCCCCUUUCUUCACUCGUGUGUCCAAGACAUGAGGCUGCAAGAUGACACGACCACAAAGUCGAUCAUCAAACUGCAACCUCGUGUGUCCUAGUGCCAGGUGUACUUGUGGACACCCUUAUGCUUGAACAUGGUGUUCGUUAUGGACAAUGCGUGAUGAGCACAGAAGUCCAAUAACAGAACACCACUGUUCUGAUUGGGCGGGGGGGGGGGGGGGGGCGUUCCUCCCAAUCAGGCACAAACAACAGUCAGGACCCGUCCCCCCACCUAAAGGGAGGCUACCCUCUCGUCCACCGGGGUUAACCCCAAUGUACAGGCGCCGAGCCGGGGGGCAAGAAGUAUACCCACACCUGCUCGGAGCCUCUCACCGUGGGAAACUCCAGAGUGGAAGAGAGUCCAACCCCUCUCAAGGGGACUGUUACCAGAGCCUAAGCCAUGUGUGGAGGCGAGCACGACUAUAUCUUGUCGGAACCUCUCGACCUCAUACAUCAACUAGUGCCCUACCUGGGGCGUGAAUCCCCAAACAACUUAUCUCCUAGGUUAGAUUAGGUUAGGUCAAGUUAGGUGAUUGGCGGGGCCAUUCUAGCAGCUUUAUUUUUGUUCUUUGAAACCAAUUGAGAGUUUACAUGGCAGUAUGUUUUGGAUCAUUAUCCUGCAGAAAUGUCCAGCCUCGUUUCAUUUUCAGCAUCCUCGUAGAUGGGAGCAGAUUUUUGUCAAGAAUGUCUCGGUACAGUUGCCCAUUCAUCCUUUCUUCAAUAAUGUGAAGUUUACUGGGACCAUUUGCUGAAAAUCAGCCCCGCACCAUCAUGUUCCCACCACCGAGCUUCACUGUUGGUAUGGUGUUUUGUAGGUGAUGUGCAGUGUCAUUUCUCCUCCAAACGUGGUGUGCAUUAUGGCAUCCAAACAGUUAAAAUUUGCUGUCAUCUGAUCAGACUAUAUUUGGGUCUUGCGUGUUGAGCGUGCAUACAGGUCAUGGAGUGCAUUACUCAGUCUUUUCCUUGUGACAACAGUACCUGCUAAUUCCAGGUAUUUUUGGAAAUCUUGCGAGGAACACCUGAUCGAGGCAAAUUUAUGGUGGUAUGAUUGGCUUUCCACUUCCGUAUUCUGGCCCCAACCGUGCUCACUGGAACAUUCAGAAGCUUACAUAUGCGCCAGUAACCAAUGCCAUCGUUAUGUUUUCCAACAAUUGCAAUGUUCUUGAGACGGCUCUCUGCUCUUACCCGUCGUGAGAUGUCUCUUGACUCUUACCUUGACAAUGAGACCUUUUUGUAGGCCAUCAAUUAGGACUGAACCAGCUGAUAUUAAUUUUCACUAACAAGGGGCUUGAUUGCUGUUUGAUUUGAUAGAUUUUAGGUGUAUUUUCAGGUCAAUAGCAGCUUUGGAAAUAUAUUUAGUGAGAAAAAUGGUGACGUGUUCAAUACAUAUUUCAGCCGCUGUAUAUGUAUGUGUGUGUGUGAAUGUGUAUAUAUAUACACACAGACACGUGUAUAUAUGUAAAAAAAAAAAAAAAUUCUAACUUAUUGGAACUAAACUUGGAAAUGGUGAAGUUCCAUAAAAGCAAGACACCCUGCAUUUCUGUUUUGUCUUCAUGUAAGAGCUGUGGUCAUUUUACUAAACUUUCUAAAGCAAUCAAAUCUAACAUACAUUGGUCAUACAAACCGCAAUGCCAAUGAAGUUGGGAUGUUGUGUAAAACGAAUAAAAACAGAAUACAAUCUACCAAUGCUUUUCAAACAGCAUUAAAUUGAAUACAAAGACAAGAUAUUUAAUGUUCAAACUGAUUAACUUUUUUUUGCAAAUCAUCCCUCAUUUUGAAUUUGAUGCCAGCAACACAUUCUGUAAAAGCUGGGACCGGGGCAAGAAAAGUUGUGAAAUGCUUAAAAAACACCUGUUUGGAACAUUCCACAGAUUGGAUAAUUUGAAACAGGUGAGAGUGUCAGACUUGGGUAUAAAAGGAACAUCCCUGAAAGGCUCAGUUGUUCAAGGAUGGGGCGCUGUUCACCACUUUAUGAACAACUGCAUAGGCAAACAGUACAACAGUUUAACAACAAUGUUUUUCAACAUACAGUUGCAACGAAUUAAGGCAUUUCAUCAGAUAUGGCCCAUACUGACAUCAAAAGAUUCAGAGAAUCUGGAGAGAUUUCUGCACGUAAGCGGCAAGGCUGAAAAACAACAUUUGAACACCUGUGACUUUUGAUCCCUCAGGCGGCACUCCAUAAAAAAAAAAAAAAAAUGGCAUCAUGUGUUAAGAGUAUUGCAGAGCUGCCAAAUGUUAUGGAAUGUUCGUAUUUUGUUACGGAAAUCGCUCAACGCUGACUCGCUAUGGCCGUAACACCGAUUGUUCCGGAUAUUAGGGGUGAAAAACAUCCAGCGUCGGACAUUACCGGCCAGUAUGGCGCUGUGUCUGGCCACCUUGAUGAAAAUUUCAUGAGUUUGAUGAAAUAAACACCAUAUUGUUUCCCCCCAAAAAAAGGAAAAAAAUCUGCUUGGUACACACUAUUUGAUUACGACCCCCCCAACCAAGCAGCCGAGGUUAAAAUUCUUUGUGUCCAGUCUCAAUGCAUUGUCACUAAUCAUCGCCUCCAUGGCAGUGAAAAAACGAUACUUCUUGCCAUGCUUCUUACCCAUAUCGUUUACGCUAUCACGACGGGAGGCCGAGGAGUUUGUAAGAAAAGACCGAAAAGCAUCAUACUAAUUGCUAAGCUAUCAUGUCACGAAGUCGCAAAAUACAGAAAUAAGUGAUACAGUACACUUGUAACAUAGGAACAUAGGUCUACCUGGAACCACGUUAUAGCAGAGCGUAACAAAGUUUGAACAACAAAAUAACAUGGCAACUAAUCCGUGUCUGGAGAUAUAAAUGUAAAAUAAUUCACGGCCUCUGAACUGGAAAUUAAUACGCCACUGGAGACAUCAUCUGACAAUGGGGUCAGAUUUUAUGUAUAUUAAUUUAAUAAUAAAUAUGUCUUAUAUAAGAUAAGGCGACACGGUGGAGACUCUAAAUUGCCCAUAGGUGUGAAUGUGAGUGCGAAUGGUUGUUUGUUUGUAUGUGCCCUGUGAUUGGCUGGCAACCAGUUCCGGGUGUACCCCGCCUCCUGCCCGAUGAUAGCUGGGAUAGGCUCCAGCACGCCCGCGACCCUAGUGAGGAGAAGCGGCUCUGAAAAUGGAUGGAUGGAUAUAUAAGAUAACCUUCAUUGGUCCCACAAUGGGGAAAUUUCCAUCAUUUCAGUAGCAAUAGUGGAGAUAGGAAAUACUGUACAUUAAUUCAUCUUCCGUACCACUUAUCCUCACUACAGUUGCGGGUGUGCCUGAGAGGCAGGGUACACCCUGAACUGCUCGCCAGUCAAUCGCAGGGUACAUAAAAACAAACCACCAUCCGUACUCACGUUGACACCUACGGGCAAUUUAGAGUCCUCAAUUAACGUACCAUGGAUAUUUUGGGGAUGUGGGAGAAAACCCACGCAAGCAUCGGGAGAACAUGCAAACUCCACACAUGCGAGGCCGGACCCAAACGCGGGUCCUCAGAACCGUGAGGCAGAUGCGCGAACCAGUUGUCCACCGUUCCACCAAAUACUGUACAACAAUAUGGUAUAAACAGCAUGCAAGAGAAGACAUCAACAAGUACAAAGAGAAAUCUAGUGUCCAUGUAUAAACUAUCCAAUUCAGUCUGUCAGCGAUGUUAUUUGUAUGUUUGCAAAAUAGAGUGCUGAGUUUUAAUUCACUUUUGAGAUCUGAUUAAUCUGAUUUAAAACUUUUUUUUUUUACUUAGGUUGAAAACAGAAUUGAUAAAGGCGACUUAAUCUCUAGACAGAUACCUUUGACAAUGGUAUGUCAAAAUCUCAUAUACUUUGAUUUAGGCUGCACCUGAGUCCACCAUUACAAGUUUGAUGCAAUUAAUAUUGAAGCCAUAAUUUAUUAAAGAUUACAAUUAUAGAGUAAUGAUUAUAUUCUGCAUUUGAACAGUAUGCACAAUGAGUUUCAUCCUAUUACAAAACAUACUGCAAUAACUGUCCCGCGGUAAUGUUCUUGAAAAAAUUUUGAAAAUAUGGAAAUUCAGACAAAUUUGGACAAAUUGUUCUGGAAGUGAAUUCCUAUGGGUUGGCACCUCUGAUAUUGCUUGCAUGUAGACUCAGGAACACUUCAGAAAACCAUUGUCAGUUAAAACAGUUUGUCGCUACAUCUACAAAAAUAAGUUAAAUUCACUAUGCAAAGUGAAAGCCAUAUACAGUGGAACCUCCAUAAAACGGACGCCGAUAUAAUGGAUAUCGGAUAAAACAAUCAGAAGUGAAUAAUGUGUUCAAAAGUAGUUUCCAUUUGUAACACUGCUGUUAACAAAGUUUGUUAGUUCCAGAAUUGGCCGCUGUUGUUUCCUGGCACUGUUGCUUAAUGCAGGCAGAGCAUGGGACUGACGUAUUUCCAGGUCACAGAUAUACAAUAUGACUAGAUCCAUUUCCAAAAGACGUGUUUGCUGUGUACGUGGUGAACAUGUUGAACAUGGGGCAUUGACGGGGAGGCCAUGGUGAUGAUGGUUAUAUCUGUUGUCUAUUGUGUAAAGAGCGCUGCGCAGACAGAAAGAGAGAGCGGCAUGGUUGCAGUGUUUGUGCUGAGGAAUCCAGCACAAAGGUAUCUGGAGUCUGGAACAUGCUAUUUUUGGUACAGUAACAGUUUUUAUGUCAAGCCAUUCGCCUAUAGCAUCAGAUUUAGAACUAGGAAGCACACUAAUUCCUCACUAUGAUGAGUACUGUACGUCAACAAUGUCACCAUGACCAAGCACACCAGCGUUGUAAGUUUGGAAGUUUUGAAGCUUUCAAACAUUUUCAAGCUUGUUUUAUUUUUAUUUAUAAUAACUUUGCGUUGUACUGGGUGUUUUAGUCCACAAAAAAAGUUUGAAAAAAUGUACACUAGAGUAAUAUGGGUGCAUAUUGCUACAACAAAGUGCUUCAGUAAAAUGGACAAACGGCUGUAAUGGAUAACCCCUCACCCCUAUUAGUCGGUUAUAUCCAGGUUCCACUCUAUGGUAUCAGUAAGACACAGAAAUGCUGCUGGCUUCUCUGGGCCCAAGCUGAUCUGAGAUCGACUGACGUGAAGUGGAAAAGGGUGCUUUCAUCUGACGAGUGCUACUUUCAAAUUAUUUUUGGAAAUCAUGAACGUCGUCUCCUCCGGGCCAAAGAGUUAAAGGUCCAUCCGGAUUGUCAUCAGUGCAAAGUUCAAAAGCCAGUGUAACAGAUACCGACUCUCAGGCUAAUGAUCACAGAGCCUGGCCUGUUCUGCACCCUAAUCCCCCCAACUAACCGCCAACAUUCCUCUGAUAAGCCCACAAGCUCGCAUGAUGUCUGUUUGACUCGCACAGAUACUCAACAGAGAUGAGGCUCGUUCUUCCCUCCUAAAUAUGAAGAUAAGACUUAACAGUGAAGAGACACAGAUUGCGCCAAGAAGGUCUGCGUUGUCUCCUUGUGACUCACAGCUCUGAUGGGAGAGGAAGGAUGAUUGAUGAUGGUUCAACAAAGAACAACCCCCCUCUUAUCACCCCCAAAAGCCCACUGAGCAGAUUGAUGAGGACCAGACACGCCCUCAAAAUGAGUCACUUCUCUGACCGAAAACACUACAACAUGGACUCCUUGUGAUUCUAAAUGUGUAUUUUAUUUAUAUAUAUAUAUAUAUAUAUAUAUACACACGCACGCACACACGUAUAUAUCGACAAUUAAAAAUCAGGAAAUCCCACGCCUUUACAAAUGUGUACAAGUCUGCAUUAGUACCCUGAAUGUACGGUGUGAUUUCUGUGCCAUAUAUAUGUGAGAUUCUGCAAAUUUUGCGUUUUCUUUUUUUUUUUAACACCAAUAUAUGCUGAACCAGCAUCUGUGAUGGUAUGGGGGUGUGUUAGUGUCCAUGGUAUGGGUAACUUGCACAUCCGUGAAGUCACCAUUAAUGCUGAAAGGAAGAUGCAGGUUUUGGAGCAACAUAUGCUGCCAUCCAAGCAAUGUCUUUUUCAUGGACACCCCUGCUUAUUUCAGCAAGACAAUGCCAAGCCACGUUCUGCAUGUGGUACAACAGCGUGGCUUCAUUGUAAAAGAGUGUGAGUACACGACUGGCCUGACAGCAGUCUAGAUCUGUUUCCCAUUGAAAAUGUGUGGCGGAUUAUGAAGCGCAAAAUACGACAACGGAGACCCCGGACCGUUGAACAGCUGAAGCUGUACAUCAAGCAAGAAUGGGAAAGAAUUCCACCUACAAAGCUUCAACAAUUAGUGUCCUCAGUUCCCAAACGUUGAUUAAAUGUUGUUAAAAGAAAAGGUGAUGUAACACAGUGGUUAACAUGCCGCAAUCACUUUUGGAACGUGUUGCGGGCAUUAAUUUCACAAUGAAUAUUUUAAAAUAAAAUAAAAAUUUAAAAAAAUGAAGCUUAUCAGGCGGCACGGUGGACGACUGGCUAGAGCGUCUGCCUCACAGUUCUGAGGACCGGGGUUCAAUCCCCGGCCCCGCCUGUGUGGAGUUUGCAUGUUCUCCCCGUACCUGCGUGGGUUUUCUCCGGGCACUCCGGUUUCCUCCCACAUCCAAAAAACAUGCAUGGUAGGUUAAUUGAAGACUCUAAAUUGCCCAUAGGUAUGAAUGUGAGUGCGAAUGGUUGGUUGUUUCUAUGUGCCCUGCGAUUGGCUGGCAACCUGUUCAGGGUGUAUCCCGCCUCCUGCCAGAUGCUAGCUGGGAUAGGCUCCAGCACUCCCGCGACCCUUGUGAAGAUAAGCGGCUCAGAAACUGGAUGGAUGGAUGGAAGCUUAUCAGUUUGAACAAUAAAUACGUAUAAUGUAGUGUAUUCAAAUUAAGGUUGAAAAGGAUUUGCAAAUCAUUGUAUUCUCUUUCUAAUAUGUUUUACACAAUGCACAAACUUAAUUGGAAUUGCGGUUUGUAAUAAUUUGGUAUUCUUUCUCACUAUCAACAAAUUGGAUAUGGUAGCCCAAGUCAAAGUUCAGCAAAAAUCCACUAAUACAUUCAGCAAAAUGAACCCCCUCCCCACACUAACCCCCACCCUCCUCCCUCCCUACACACACAGACACACACACACAUUCUGGUCUUCUAUAUGGAUCUUCAGUAAGGUACCUUUUAAUGUAAUAAUCUACUAUUUUGGGAAAUAAUUGCUUGUUGUAUUAAAAUACACCCGAUUCUGUACCACAGUAAUAGGAGAGUCCUCCUAAUGCAGUUGUGAGGCUGUAACUUGCAUUUUUAAUGACACAAGCAUUACAGCAUUACUUGUACAUUCCACAUUGAUGUGAUUUCAAAUAACGAAAAGCAAGCACACGAUUACUUAAGAAAACACUGUUUAUGUUCUAAACCAGGUAACCUUAGAUUGUGCACUUGUUGCGGUCUAAAAGCCAAUACGUACUGCACAAUAGAAUGUUAGAUUUACACUUCUUUGUACACAUUUUAAGAACAUCGAUUGACAGCCUUUCAACAUUUUAAGUUUGGUUAUGGUUGUCAAAACGUGGACAACCACUGGGCAGAUUUCAUUAGCAAAUGUGUAAAUGACAAUUCGAUAAUUAAACCUUAUGGCCUACAUUAUCACUGGAUGUGAUGACUUAAAAAACUGUAGUUACGCAAUAGCACAAUGCACUCUUUCCUGUCAUGACAUUUAAAUUACACAAGCGGGGAAAAAUGUAUUACAAUGGGAAUAUGAUAAUUAUUUUGGGGAGUUAUUGGGAUUGAUAUGACGAGACUAAUAAUUUUUUUAAAAAUGCCCAUGGUCAGUGUCCAUGACUUACAUUUUUGGAAUGUAAA
Molecule: long non-coding RNA, 11662 nt
Organism: Phyllopteryx taeniolatus (common seadragon)
Lineage: Eukaryota; Metazoa; Chordata; Actinopteri; Syngnathiformes; Syngnathidae
Exons: 8
Source: RefSeq, a predicted model, not a curated record